CUACGGGGGGCACCAGUGAGGAAUAUUGCGCAAUGGACGAAAGUCUGACGCAGCCAUGCCGCGUGCAGGAUGACGGCCCUAUGGGUUGUAAACUGCCUUUUUACAGGAAGAACUCCUCCUACGUGUAGGAGGCUGACGGUACUGUAUGAAUAAGCACCGGCUAACUCCGUGCCAGCAGCCGCGGUAAUACGGAGGGUGCAAGGUUAUCCGGAUUUAUUGGGUUUAAAGGGUGCGUAGGCGGGAUAAUAAGUCAGUGGUGAAAACCUGCAGCUCAACUGUAGAACUGCCAUUGAUACUGUUAUUCUUGAGUGCGAUUGAAGUAGGCGGAAUGUGUAAUGUAGCGGUGAAAUGCUUAGAUAUUACACAGAACACCGAUUGCGUAGGCAGCUUACUAAGUCGUAACUGACGCUGAGGCACGAAAGCGUGGGGAUCGAACAGGAUUAGAUACCCCCGUAGUC
Molecule: ribosomal RNA, 458 nt
Filed under: uncultured bacterium
Lineage: Bacteria
Description: partial 16S ribosomal RNA
Rfam family: Bacterial small subunit ribosomal RNA
Source: RNAcentral